RNAcentral lists this ribosomal RNA (499 nucleotides) under uncultured bacterium. RNAcentral describes it as "bacterial SSU rRNA". It matches the Rfam family "Bacterial small subunit ribosomal RNA", at positions 899 to 1397 of the family's 1533-position model. The record is from RNAcentral.
ACUCAAAGGAAUUGACGGGGGCCCGCACAAGCAGUGGAGUAUGUGGUUUAAUUCGAAGCAACGCGAAGAACCUUACCAGGGCUUGACAUCUCCUGCAUAUCUAAGAGAUUAGAGAAGUCCCUUCGGGGACAGGAAGACAGGUGGUGCAUGGUUGUCGUCAGCUCGUGUCGUGAGAUGUUGGGUUAAGUCCCGCAACGAGCGCAACCCCUGUUGUUGGUUGCCAGCAUGUAAAGAUGGGCACUCCAGCGAGACUGCCGGUGACAAAUCGGAGGAAGGUGGGGACGACGUCAAAUCAUCAUGCCCCUUAUGUCCUGGGCUACACACGUACUACAAUGGCUGUAACAGUGAGCAGCAAGCGCGCAAGUGCAAGCGAAUCUCGAAAAACAGUCUCAGUUCGGAUUGUGGGCUGCAACCCGCCCACAUGAAGUCGGAAUUGCUAGUAAUUGCAAGUCAGCAUAUUGCAGUGAAUACGUUCCCGGGCCUUGUACACACCGCCCGU